AUUGAACGCUGGCGGCAGGCCUAACACAUGCAAGUCGAGCGGAUGAAGGGAGCUUGCUCCUGGAUUCAGCGGCGGACGGGCGAGUAAUUCCUAGGAAUCUGCCUUGUAGUGGGGGAUAAGGUCCGGAAACGGGCGCUAAUACCGCAUACGUCCUGAGGUAGAAAGUGAGGGAUCUUCGGACCUCACGCUAUCAGAUGAGCCUAGGUCGGAUUAGCUAGUUGGUGGGGUAAAGGCCUACCAAGGCGACGAUCCGUAACUGGUCUGAGAGGAUGAUCAGUCACACUGGAACUGAGACACGGUCCAGACUCCUACGGGAGGCAGCAGUGGGGAAUAUUGCGCAAAGGGCGAAAGCCUGAUCCAGCCAUGCCGCGUGUGUGAAGAAGGUCUUCGGAUUGUAAAGCACUUUAAGUUGGGAGGAAGGGCAGUGAGUUAAUACCUUGCUGUUUUGACGUUACCAAAAGAAUAAGCACCGGCUAACUUCGUG
Molecule: ribosomal RNA, 484 nt
Filed under: uncultured bacterium
Lineage: Bacteria
Description: partial 16S ribosomal RNA
Rfam family: Bacterial small subunit ribosomal RNA
Source: RNAcentral